RNAcentral lists this ribosomal RNA (460 nucleotides) under uncultured bacterium. RNAcentral describes it as "partial 16S ribosomal RNA". It matches the Rfam family "Bacterial small subunit ribosomal RNA", at positions 338 to 795 of the family's 1533-position model. The record is from RNAcentral.
ACUACGGGAGGCAGCAGUGAGGAAUAUUGGUCAAUGGGCGCGAGCCUGAACCAGCCAAGUAGCGUGAAGGAUGACUGCCCUACGGGUUUUAAACUCCUUUUAUAAAGGAAUAAAGUGAGGCACGUGUGCCUUUUUGUAUUUACUUUAUGAAAAAGGAUCGGCUAACCCCGUGACAGCAGCGGAGGUAAUACGGAGGAUCCGAGCGUUAUCCGGCUUGAUUGGGUUUAAAGGGAGCGUAGAUGGGUUGUUAUGUCAGUUGUGAAAGUGUGCGGCUCAACCGUAAAAUUGCAAUUGAUACUGGCAGUCUUGAGUGCAGUUGAGGUAGGCGGAAUUCGUGGUGUAGCGGUGAAAUGCUUAGAUAUCACGAAGAACUCCGAUUGCGAAGGCAGCUUACUAAUCUGCAACUGACGUUGAUGCUCGAAAGUGUGGGUAUCAAACAGGAUUAGAUACCCCAGUAGUC